CAAAUCUGUCAUGACUUGAGGUUUGUCAGUAUACGAAGAGUUAUGAGUCUUCCAAUUGAAUAGAUCAGUUGUGGUGAAGGGGACAUAGACAACCACUGGAUCUGCCCGUUGUAUUUGGCCAUUUUCAUCAACGUGUGUUGGGCCCGGUGUAAGUCGGAGAGGCAUCUGGCAAUGUCGGGAUGGAAGGGUGCCAGUCAAUUGUCGGGUUAGCAUGGGGCUUCGGCAAG
This is a non-coding RNA of Pelobates cultripes (western spadefoot toad), 227 nucleotides long. The record is from the annotation of a GenBank genome assembly. NCBI's taxonomy places the organism in Eukaryota, Metazoa, Chordata, Amphibia, Anura, Pelobatidae.